GAGUUUGAUCCUGGCUCAGAAUCAACGCUGGCGGCGCGCUUAACACAUGCAAGUCGAACGAGAAAAUUCCCUUCGGGGAGUGAGUAAAGUGGCGAACGGGUGAGUAACACGUGGGUUACCUGCCCUCGAGUGGGGAAUAACUCUGGGAAACCGGGGCUAACACCGCAUACGAUCCUUCGGGAUGAAAGUCUUCGGACGCUCGAGGAGGGGCCCGCGGCCGAUUAGCUUGUUGGCGGGGUAAUGGCCCACCAAGGCAAAGAUCGGUAGCCGGCCUGAGAGGGCGCACGGUCACACUGGCACUGAGACACGGGCCAGACUCCUACGGGAGGCAGCAGUGAGGAAUCUUGGACAAUGGGGGAAACCCUGAUCCAGCGACGCCGCGUGAGUGAUGAAGCCUUUCGGGGUGUAAAGCUCUUUCAGCGGGGACAAUCAUGAUGGUACCCGCACAAGCAGCUGCGGCUAAUACGUGCCAGCAGCCGCGGUAAUAC
Molecule: ribosomal RNA, 488 nt
Filed under: uncultured sponge symbiont PAWS61
Lineage: Bacteria
Description: bacterial SSU rRNA
Rfam family: Bacterial small subunit ribosomal RNA
Source: RNAcentral